Non-coding RNA from Aedes albopictus (Asian tiger mosquito), 58 nucleotides. The record is from Rfam. NCBI's taxonomy places the organism in Eukaryota, Metazoa, Arthropoda, Insecta, Diptera, Culicidae.
UAGCCUUGUGGAUAAGGCUUUGGAUCGCCAAUCCGGAGACGGCGGGUUCGAUUCCCGU